Molecule: signal recognition particle RNA, 265 nt
Filed under: Carlito syrichta (Philippine tarsier)
Lineage: Eukaryota; Metazoa; Chordata; Mammalia; Primates; Tarsiidae
Description: Metazoan signal recognition particle RNA (ENSTSYG00000030062.1)
Rfam family: Metazoan signal recognition particle RNA
About the family: The signal recognition particle (SRP) is a universally conserved ribonucleoprotein. It is involved in the co-translational targeting of proteins to membranes. The eukaryotic SRP consists of a 300-nucleotide 7S RNA and six proteins: SRPs 72, 68, 54, 19, 14, and 9.
Source: RNAcentral
GCCUGCUGUAGCCCCAGCUACUCUGAGAGGCUGAGGUAGGAGAAUUGCUUGAGUCCAUGAGUUCUGGGCUAUAGUGAACUAUGCUAAUUGGGUGACCUCACUAAGUUUGGCAUCAGUAUGGUGACCUGAGGGCAGUGGACCACCAGGUUGCCUAAGGAGGGGAUAAACAGAGCGGCUCAAAACUCCCAUGCUGAUUAGUAGUGGGAUUUCACCUAUGAAUGGCCACUGGACUUCAGGCUGGGCAACGUAGCGAGACCUCGUUUCU